GAUGAACGCUGGCGGCGUGCUUAACACAUGCAAGUCGAACGAGAAGUGAAGACGGAAACCUUUGGGCGGAAGGCAUUAUUUCGAGUGGCGGACGGGUGAGUAAUGAGUGGGUAGUAUGCCUCAUACAGGGGGAUAACAGCUGGAAACGACUGUUAAUACUGCAUAAGAACACAGCACCGCAUGGUGCGGGGGUAAAAACUCCGGUGGUAUGAGAUGGACCCGCGUUGGAUUAGCCAGUUGGCGGGGUAACGGCCCACCAACGCGACGAUCGAUAGCCGAUCUGAGAGGAUGACCGGCCACAUUGGGACUGAGACACGGCCCAAACUCCUACGGGAGGCAGCAGUGGGGAAUAUUGCACAAUGGGGGAAAGCCUGAUGCAGCGACGCCGCGUGAGUGAAGAAGUAUUUCGGUAUGUAAAGCUCUAUCAGCAGGGAAGAAAAUGACGGUACCUGAGUAAGAAGCCCCGGCUAACUACGUG
This 478-nucleotide ribosomal RNA is filed under the name uncultured bacterium. RNAcentral describes it as "partial 16S ribosomal RNA". It matches the Rfam family "Bacterial small subunit ribosomal RNA", at positions 28 to 507 of the family's 1533-position model. The record is from RNAcentral.